RNAcentral lists this ribosomal RNA (292 nucleotides) under uncultured bacterium. RNAcentral's name for it is "partial 16S ribosomal RNA". It matches the Rfam family "Bacterial small subunit ribosomal RNA", at positions 505 to 796 of the family's 1533-position model. The record is from RNAcentral.
GUGUCAGCCGCCGCGGUAAAACGUAGGAGGCGAGCGUUAUCCGGAUUCACUGGGCGUAAAGCGCGUGCAGGUGGCUUGGUAAGUUAGGCGUGAAAUCUCCCGGCUCAACUGGGAGAGGUCGUCUAAUACUACCGGGCUUGAGAGCAGAAGAGGAAGAUGGAAUUCCCGGUGUAGUGGUGAAAUGCGUAGAUAUCGGGAGGAACACCAGUGGCGAAGGCGAUCUUCUGGUCUGUUUCUGACACUCAGACGCGACAGCUAGGGUAGUAAACGGGAUUAGAAACCCUCGUAGUCC